UUAAGCAGCCAUAUCACCCUGUAACGCACAACUGGCAGCAGCAGGUGUGAGCCUACCCAGUAUCUGGAUGGGAGAUCUCCUGGGAAAGCUAAGGUUGCUGCUGGAA
This 106-nucleotide ribosomal RNA is filed under the name Lepisosteus oculatus (spotted gar). Lineage: Eukaryota; Metazoa; Chordata; Actinopteri; Semionotiformes; Lepisosteidae. The record is from RNAcentral.